This 254-nucleotide ribosomal RNA is filed under the name uncultured prokaryote. RNAcentral describes it as "partial 16S ribosomal RNA". It matches the Rfam family "Bacterial small subunit ribosomal RNA", at positions 524 to 777 of the family's 1533-position model. The record is from RNAcentral.
UACGGAGGAUGCAAGCGUUAUCCGGAUUUAUUGGGUUUAAAGGGUGCGUAGGCGGCCGAGUAAGUCAGCGGUGAAAUUUUGCAGCUUAACUGUAACAGUGCCGUUGAUACUGCCAGGCUAGGAUUUGGUUGCUGUGGGUGGAAUGUGUGGUGUAGCGGUGAAAUGCUUAGAUAUCACACAGAAUAUCAAUUGCGAAGGCAGCUCACAAAGCCAAGAUUGACGCUGAGGCACGAAAGUGUGGGGAUCAAACAGGA